CAGCCGCCGCGGUAAUACGUAGGGUGCGAGCGUUAAUCGGAAUUACUGGGCGUAAAGCGUGCGCAGGCGGUUGUGUAAGACAGGUGUGAAAUCCCCGGGCUUAACCUGGGAACUGCGCUUGUGACUGCACAGCUAGAGUAUGGCAGAGGGGGGUGGGAUUCCACGUGUAGCAGUGAAAUGCGUAGAGAUGUGGAGGAACACCGAUGGCGAAGGCAGCCCCCUGGGCCAAUACUGACGCUCAUGCACGAAAGCGUGGGGAGCAAACAGGAUUAGAUACCCCUGUAGUCCCUGUCUCUUAUAC
Molecule: ribosomal RNA, 301 nt
Filed under: uncultured bacterium
Lineage: Bacteria
Description: partial 16S ribosomal RNA
Rfam family: Bacterial small subunit ribosomal RNA
Source: RNAcentral